CUUCGUGGAGCCUGGCGACUGCUUUGGGAAGUCCUGCUGGCAGGCACUCUGCCCCUGGGGGUGUGCAAAGAGUUGUCCAGUUACCUUGAUCUUCUCACAGCCUCCUCCCCAGGGCACCAGGAGAGACCAGGAUUGGAGGACGGUAAAGAACACACUUCCCAGAGGAUUCUUGGAGGUGGCUUCCUCCAGGCAGUAAAUCUACAGCCCAGGCUCCCUGCAUCUUAUGGCUCCAAUCACUUUGGAUCUCAUCGUCGCCUGCACAUUGCCAUACACAGGGAAGGAGAAGAGAUGGAGAAGGCAAAGACUUUCUGAAAGCCGUGGCUAAAAGCUGGCAUGUGUCACAUCAGCUCACAUUCCAUUGUAGAGACGGGGUUUCACCGUGUUAGCCAGGAUGGUCUUGAUAUCCUGACCUCGUGAUCCGCCCGCCUUGGCUUCCCAAAGUGCUGGGAUUACAGGCGUGAGCCACCGCUCCCGGCCUGGCAGGCAUUCUUGAGGCAAACGGGAAAUGGGGUAAGUUACACAAUCGAUACAGCUCCGUCAUCGUGGUUUAAUUACUUUUCCACGUACCAUGUUUCCUGACAGGUAGAACGAUCAGCCUGGGCCUCCGUUUUUCAUUCUACAAAGAAUGAAGUGCAUGAACUGUCCUCUAUAGAAUUGUGGAAAAAGUUGUUUUUAUUGAGUUGUGGUUAUCUUUGUCUUCAUGGUCUAAUUACGGAAAUAAAUGCUUUUCCGAGUCUCCGGGGAUGGUCUGCCCUAGUCCAGCUCUCUGCAGUGUCUUUCUGGGUUUUUCCUCAGUGAACGGGAGGAACAUUGGCAGCACUUGUGGUCUGCACCAAGAACUGAAUCGAAUUUCCAUGUGUUAUUGAAUGUUCACAAAGACCUUGUACAGCGAGUGUUACUACCUCUGGUCAAUGAUUCAACUCAAGGCUCAGAAAAGUCAAGUGUCUUGUCCAGGGACACUUAGUCAGAAGUGAAUCCAAGGUUUAAGCUCAAGUCUGCCUAACUCUGAAUUUCACAGCCUUUUGCUACAUAUGGCGAAUAAUAUAUCCCUGAGCACUAAAGGCAGACUCCAAGGAUCUUGUCUCUGCAAUCAUCAUUCUGGCCAUAAUUUAUGAAAAGCAACCCAAAGUAUGUGAUGUAAUAAAAAGUACUAUCUAUGAGUUUACCCUUCCAAAAAUUGAACUGAAUUCUGAGCUCUAAAUUUGGAAUCAAAAGAACUUUUCUCUGCACUAAUCAUUUGGAACAUCACUUAAAGAAAACAACGAAAAACUGGUGUCCCCUGAGAGAAAGCAAUACAAAACAUUAUGCAUAAAGAAAUCCUUCCAAAAAAUAAACCAAAUCCAGUCAAAUCUCUAGUUUUGACUCCUAGCUUACCGGAAAUACGUGAUGGGAAAAAAAUGAAAUGACACCACUAUGAUUCAAUCAGCCAAAUCCAGCAUAUGCAAAUUUCUACCAGAUAAAUGGUUUAGUUUCUUCCCCAAACAAAUGGCACAAGGAAACGGAGAUGGAGUUCCCCUCUGCCACCCAGACUGGAGUACAGUGGCGCGAUCCUGGCCAUCGCAACCUCCGCCUCCCAGAUCCCUCCUACAACACAUGAGAAUUGUGGGUGCUACAAUUCAAGAUGAGAUUUGAGUGGGGACAAAGUCAAACCAUAUCAUUAGAUAGGACACUGGAGAAAGGCAAGAAAGAAAAGACAUCUGAAGAAUGAAGGGAGCCAAAGAAAUGCCAACAUUUUGCUUUUUGAAGAAAAGCUAAAUUAAAGUCAAAAUGGAUUUAUCAAUUUCCUUGGGUUCGUGAAUGUACAGAACUUUAUUAAGACUGUCAUGCUGUCAUCAUGGCUGGAUCUGAUACGGCCACCGUGGACCUUGAGGUGACCUCGGGAAUGGAGACAGUGCAUGGGAGAGAAUCACAUUGGAAGGGGCCUGGGUUUCUGAAGACCCUGUAAGACAGAUCUCCUUGCAGCCCUGACUGCCCACAUUAGGGCUUUUAUGUUAGGGUGAAGUUACCUUGCAUUGUCAUAUAAGCAAUUGCUAUUUGUGGUGUCUUGCAAAUAAACCUAUUCUGAUCUAGUAUGUUUCCUAA
This 2082-nucleotide long non-coding RNA is filed under the name Homo sapiens (human). Its description in RNAcentral is "HSALNT0371198". Lineage: Eukaryota; Metazoa; Chordata; Mammalia; Primates; Hominidae. The record is from RNAcentral.